UCAGUCGACUCCUACGGGGAGGCAGCAGUGGGGAAUAUUGCACAAUGGGGGAAACCCUGAUGUAGCCAUGCCGCGUGUGUGAAGAAGGCCUUCGGGUUGUAAAGCACUUUCAGUAGGGAGGAAGGUAGUGUAGUUAACACCUGCAUUAUUUGACGUUACCUACAGAAGAAGCACCGGCUAACUCCGUGCCAGCAGCCGCGGUAAUACGGAGGGUGCGAGCGUUAAUCGGAAUUACUGGGCGUAAAGCGCAUGCAGGCGGCCUGUUAAGUCAGAUGUGAAAGCCCGGGGCUUAACCUCGGAAUUGCAUUUGAAACUGGCAGGCUAGAGUCUUGUAGAGGGGGGUAGGAAUUUCAGGUGUAGCGGUGAAAUGCGUAGAGAUCUGAAGGAAUACCAGUGGCGAAGGCGGCCCCCUGGACAAAGACUGACGCUCAGAUGCGAAAGCGUGGGGAGCAAACAGGAUUAGAUACCCUGGUAG
Molecule: ribosomal RNA, 475 nt
Filed under: uncultured bacterium
Lineage: Bacteria
Description: bacterial SSU rRNA
Rfam family: Bacterial small subunit ribosomal RNA
Source: RNAcentral